This 622-nucleotide ribosomal RNA is filed under the name Parmelia squarrosa. RNAcentral's name for it is "SSU rRNA". It matches the Rfam family "Bacterial small subunit ribosomal RNA", at positions 1 to 929 of the family's 1533-position model. The record is from RNAcentral. Lineage: Eukaryota; Fungi; Ascomycota; Lecanoromycetes; Lecanorales; Parmeliaceae.
GAGGAAUGUAUAGCAAUAGCUACUUGCAUCAUCAUUUUCUCAUUUUCUUCUUCUUUUUCUCAUUAUCAGAGAAAAAUCAGAAGAAAAGUAGAGAAAAGUAAAGAUGAUGCAAGAUCGACUAUGUCGAAUAAAAUUCUAGGUAGAAUUAUGAUAAUGACAUUGUCUGCCUAUGUGUCUUGACCAAAUUACGUGCCAGCAGUCGCGGUAAUACGUAGAAGACUAGUGUUAUUCAUGUUUAAUCGGUUUAAAGGGUACCUAGACGGUAAAUCAAGCUUUCAAAGAAAAAUAUAAAGAGAAUUAAAGGACUAAUUUACUAGAGUUACUUAUGAGGGGGUAUUAAAGUACUGCUGGUGUAGAGAUGAAAUUCUGUCAUACCUCUUUUCAAAAGAAAAAUGAUGGCACAGGUAUAGGCGAAGGCAUCCCCUUAUGUGAUAACUGACGUUGAGGGACGAAGGCUUUGUGUAGCGAACAGGAUUAGAUACCCCAGUAGUCGAAGCAGAAAAUGAUGAAUGUCAUAGAUUAGAUAUAUAAGUUUAUUCUAUAAAUGAAAGUGUAAGCAUUCCACCUCAUGAGUAAUUUGGCAACAUUGGAACUGAAAUCAUUAGACCGUUUCUGAAACCAG